Molecule: non-coding RNA, 2043 nt
Organism: Macaca mulatta (Rhesus monkey)
Lineage: Eukaryota; Metazoa; Chordata; Mammalia; Primates; Cercopithecidae
Source: RefSeq, a predicted model, not a curated record
UGAAAUAAGUGAACAUGGUGUGGGGGUUAUAGCCAUGCAGAAAUGGACUGAAUGUAGACAUAUUCCUCUUUACUCUCUGAGGCACAGAAUGUCACCAAGAGCUGUUUUGUCUGUCAACAAGAGAGACAGAGACUGCAGACGGCUACAGAGAAGAUUCUACACAGGGAAGGCCCCACACAUAGCUGGCUACGUCAACUACAAAGGAUAUCCUUUGGGGAGGGAGUUCUGAGGACUGCUUUCUACUGAGACUUCAAUCUAUAUGGUGUAUGGCUCCCAACAGACUGAUCACUGUGGUAACUAUAAACCUGAUGGUCAAAUGCUUAGAAAAGUCCCUGGUUAUAAUAGAAAAAAAUAUGAAGGUAGCAUGCCCAACAUAGCAUGCAUUUAGGCUAUGCAUAAAUAUAUAUCACUCUUGUUUUUAUGGACAGAAAGCUAUUAACAGAAUAGGGAAAAACAAUGGGCCUCUGGUGGGAUUAAAGGAGUUGGCGUCACAUGGUAGAUCCAAGGGAAUGACCCCACCCGAAACAAGGAAGGCUGUGAGAGGCCUUAUGGCACUCUCAAAUUAAAUUACAUCUACCUGUAAACACCAAUCAUCUAACUCCAGUGUGGAGACCCAAUAUUUUUUGCAAAACAUUUAUUCUAACUGCAUUCAGGCCAUUAGUACACAACAGCAAUGAUAUGCAUGGUAGAUUAAACAACACCGGCUCGUAAGACAGAAAAGGGCCUCAGGAGAGAUAGGUGCAGGUCUAGGUAUCCUGGGACAAGCUGAGUUUACUGUUUAUGUGGAGCAGUAUUCGGAGGAAAAAGAUUUAUUAACUAGAAGAGACAGAACAGAGGAAAUUCUCUUCCAGGAGGACGGCAAAGGAUGGGAGUCAGGGCAGAAGGAUAAUGAGGCUUUAGCAAAGUGGAUCAGGCUGGCUCAACAGACAAUGCUGGGCACUGCUAACACCCAGCCCAGGGUUUGUACCUGACUCAACAGGGCCUCUUGACUCUUUUAAUACAGAUGGAAGCUGAAGUGGCCGUGGGGCAGUGACCUGCUAUUCUGGCUGCUGAGGUCAAAGACCCACCCAUGGGAGUCUGAGGGCCUUCCAAACUUAUGGAAGUUCUCUGAGGGCACUUGUAAUGUUACACUGAUAGACUAUGACUGCUCUCCCCCACAGCAUAGGUCAAAAUGAAAUAUAUCCUGCAGUACAGUUGGUAGAAAUAGGAACCAUCUAAAUACCACCUGUGUCCUCCCUGCAGGAAAGAGGUGGGCCUUGCUAUAUAAUAACACACCAUAGAAACCAGCCUCAGUACAAGCCUGUGAGAUGAGGUGGGGUGAUUCCUUUUGUCCUCAAUUAACUAGAAACCCAGAAAUAACUAACAUGGCCAAUUGUAAUAAUGCCCUUCCUUAAUAAUAUCUGACAAAUGGCCAAGAGUGGAUUCCACUGGGAAGACAAGACAAAUUCCUCUGUAAUUCUUACUGAUUUAUUCUUUUAUGAAACUGAGUUGUCCCAUGAUCAUACUGUGAUAUGGUGUCAUACUGGUGUUGUAAGUAAGAUUCAAUUACCUAGUAUAAAUAAAUCUUACGAUACUACUGAUAUUGGUGAUUCAACGUAUUGGGAGAUUGAGUUAAAGUCUCUCCAGGAUGUAAUACUUAUGAAAAAUGACUGACUUGAAGAGAAAUAGGAUUUAGCUAACCAUCAGCUGAUUUCUGUGCUAAAUAGUUCUGCGAAACUUAUUAUAAGAUACAAAGAGCAAUAGAAUGCACAAAUUAGUGCGAGAAUAUGAAAAUAUUGGUAAUGGUUUUAUAGGAUAAAUUAGCUAUUUCUUUACAUCUAUCCCUACUCCACCCUGAGGGAUCAGAGAGCUUCUGGGUAAUACAUACAUCUGUGUGCUGGGUGAGGGAGGCACACCCCUAUUCCAUGCGGACAGAAACCUCCAUGCUCAGGGCCCUUCUAGACCUUGCCCUGUGUAUCUCUCCAUUUGGCUGUUCAUUUGUAUCCUUUAAAAUGAACUUCGUAUAAGCCUUUGUAAUAAAUUGGUAAUAGUAAGUAAACCAUU